CCUACGGGGUGCAGCAGUAGGGAAUCUUUCACAAUGGGCGAAAGCCUGAUGGAGCAACGCCGCGUGCAGGAUGAAGGCCUUCGGGUUGUAAACUGCUUUUAUAAGCGAGAAAUAUGAUGGUAACUUAUGAAUAAGGAUCGGCUAACUACGUGCCAGCAGCCGCGGUCAUACGUAGGAUCCGAGCAUUAUCCGGAGUGACUGGGUGUAAAGAGUUGCGUAGGUGGCAUAAUAAGUAGCUAGUGAAAUCUGGUGGCUCAACCAUUCAGACUAUUAGCUAAACUGUUAAGCUCGAGACCGUUAGGGGUAACUGGAAUUUCUAGUGUAGGAGUGAAAUCCGUAGAUAUUAGAAGGAACACCAAUAGCGUAGGCAGGUUGCUGGGACGGGUCUGACACUAAGGCACGAAAGCGUAGGGAGCAAACGGGAUUAGAUACCCGAGUAGUC
This 442-nucleotide ribosomal RNA is filed under the name uncultured bacterium. RNAcentral describes it as "partial 16S ribosomal RNA". It matches the Rfam family "Bacterial small subunit ribosomal RNA", at positions 338 to 795 of the family's 1533-position model. The record is from RNAcentral.